RNAcentral lists this ribosomal RNA (392 nucleotides) under uncultured bacterium. RNAcentral's name for it is "partial 16S ribosomal RNA". It matches the Rfam family "Bacterial small subunit ribosomal RNA", at positions 523 to 917 of the family's 1533-position model. The record is from RNAcentral.
AUACGGAGGAUGCGAGCGUUAUCCGGAUUUAUUGGGUUUAAAGGGAGCGUAGGUGGGAUAUUAAGUCAGCUGUGAAAGUUUGGGGCUCAACCUUAAAAUUGCAGUUGAUACUGGUUUCCUUGAGUACGGUAUAGGUGGGCGGAAUUCGAGGUGUAGCGGUGAACUGCUUAGAUAUAACGAAGAACUCCGAUCGCGAAGGCAGCUCACCGGGCCGGAACUGACACUGAUGCUCGAAAGUGCGGGUAUCAAACAGGAUUAGAUACCCUGGUAGUCCGCACAGUAAACGAUGAAUACUCGCUGUUUGCGAUACACUGUAAGCGGCCAAGCGAAAGCGUUAAGUAUUCCACCUGGGGAGUACGCCGGCAACGGUGAAACUCAAAUGAAUUGGCGGG